UAGAUUUGCCACAAAUCGCUGAGGAAAAUCACUUGAGCAGAGAAACGCCGGCUACAUACUCUGAAAGACAUCCCUUCCACACUAUCGCGUCUCCACUUGUCCAUGAUGAAGCGAUCACUUUGCCAGCUGAGUAGAGCCAUCCUCCUUGCAGCUUGUCUUCUCCUUCGCUUCGGACAAUGCCAACCUGUUGCAGAUCAGAGCUCACGUCAGCUAUCGCCAUCUUCUUCUCUUGAAAAUUACCUCACGCUCCGUGCCCUCCUCUCACCGGAUAAGACAUUACCGGAGUUACUCUAUGAUGAUAAUUAUAAUGAUAUGGAAAGAAGCCGACGAUCUGGGUUUUUGUUGGAAUCGUUUAAACCAGUUUCAAUGGAUGUCAUUAGAAGGGUCCUUAAGAACAAGCACCAGGAGGCAUUGGCAAACGCAAGAAGAAACUUAAUUGACCAUAACAAUCAAAUAAUGUCCAUGCAAGGUAGGAGAUGAUAGAAUUGAGCAGAACUUUCGGAUUUUUAUUUUUAAACAAGAGAUGACCAUAAAACACAUGUACACAAGCAAACAAAACUGCAAUUAUCGAAGUAUACAUUUGAUUCAUUGGGCGUUAUGGAAUAAGUGUUAUUCAUGCAGGAGUGGUACUAAAAUUCUCAUUUUAACCGUUCUAUAUUGAUACUACUGUUAAGGAGUAGAUUGAAUUACGCAAUAUAAUAUAAAGGUAGCACAACUAAUAACCAAUUACUAUAUGAACAUAUACUGUCAAAAAUGUGAAAUAUAUCAAUUUCAGCGGAUGUUUAUUCUUAAAGACUCUUUACUAAAAAAGGGUUGAGUAUUUUCGAAUCCUUUCCCAAAACUGUGUACUUACAUUGUAGUAUAUUUGGAAUGAUACUUCGGGAAACGGAGUCAGAUGUGCACUAAUCCCCAUAUUAUGAAUAAAGGUAUUAGGUGAUUAUACUCGCUCAAAGUGGAAUUCUAUAUAUAAAACAUGUCAGCAUAAGGAAGAUAUUUUCUUUGCCGGACUUGAAGAAUAUAGACUAGGAGUACAUUAUCUAAUGUAGGACUACUGAUUAUUGUAGGUUGUAACCAAUUUCGGCUUUUACCACAAUAGUAUUUCUUAGCUUUUUACUCUGAUCACCUUAAUUGGCAGUGCUCCUUACCAUUACUUUAGUAUAAUAUCGAAAAGGUUGGCAUGUAGAAGGAUUUUAGAACAUCCGUUGUCGUGAUUACGAUACAGUCGAAAUGAGAUGACGUCAACGGUUGUCAAUGUUACCUUAUCUGCAGAUUAUAUAAACUUAUUUUUUGAAAUCUACUUUCUUAUCGAUAUUGAUUAACUACGAUUGUGCUGUUCCUUCACAUAAUCAGUGUAUUAGAAUACCAUAGGUGUACAGGAUAGUCAAAAUAACGGAAAAGAAAAUAAGCAUUAAUAUCUUCGUGGCAUGACAGCGUAAAAUUUAUUCCUGUUGUUCUCCUUUCAAGAAAAUGAAGUAGUUUUUUUAUACAAAGACAGUCUAAAACGACAUAUGAUUGAGACAAGUUGCCACUAGCUGUGGUCAACAGCCAGCAAAGCCAAUCCAUUGGGAGUGUAUUCCUAACUCUAACGACUCUCUCAGGACUCUUUGGAGAGGUCUAGAGAGCACUUGGCACGUAGCUUUCUGUCCACAUAGCAUGCAUAUUGCUUGAAGUGUAUAUGCCUAACUUUAGCUAGUAUUGCCUUAUAUCACACGAAAUGCCCACGAUAUAAACCAUGUAUUACUGAACUAACGUCGGAAAGAGGUUUAAUAAUGCAUCUCCCGUUUGUGUUUGAUGUAUCACACUCAACUGCACCUUUCACAAAUAUUAUGGAGUAGUUUAUGAAUGAUAUUUGGUCCAAACUGGUUUGUGGUAUACAGUCGUAUAAUAAUGGCCAUGAAAUCAUAUCAAAAUAUGUUACAUAAUCAUGGAUAACUUUGUGAUUAAGUUGAUUAUAAUGUGUUUCUUUUUCAAAUUUGGUAUUUAAUUUGUGACAUACAUUUCUUGUAUAAAUCGUUUUGUGCAUAUUUAACUCUUUCCAUUUGGGAAAGAUAAACUAAAAAGUCUUAGAGUCUUAACACUUGUUACUUUGCCGUUUAUUUAAGAAGAAUACACUUUAGAAAAUGUUCAAUGAUAGCAUAUAAGCUUAUUAUGAUUUGAAGAUCUAGGGGUUGGAUAAUUUCUGUUAUGUUAAAUUGUUUUAAUUUGUACCGUUAUUCCAACCAAAUUUUACAAAUGUGAAAGGAACUGGUAUUCAUUUGUGAAAAUACAGUCAUGGCACUGUUAUUGACAUAAGGCGUGGGAGUCAUUUUAAUACCAAUGUAAAUUCAAAACAUUCAUAAUGUUUUUAUCCAUUCAAAUUUUCUUUAAAGUUUUUACUUAACAAGUUACCUUACGUUGCUUUUAGUUUCAUACUUUGGCACAGAUUGGCACCAAUGGCGAUUUACCGAUAGGUAUUCAAUACUCCCUCUUUACUCUAACAUACGUACACACAACAUAAAGACAAAGGUUUCCUGAAUCAGUGAUAUAAAUGUGUGUUCGAAUUGUCACCGUACCCUUGUUUAUUUUGUUUUGUAGUUUGCAGAUUGUUUCCUUUGGUAUUUCAGACUGUUCUGGCACCCUUUAUGCUCAUGCACACUUUUCUUUCUUUCUCUUUUACCACACGCAAAAACUGAUAGCUAUUUCCCUGUUAUUUUACCAUAACUUAGAGCAUACGAACAUGAUUCCCUGUAAACAGCUCAUCUCAAUUUACUUGUAAAUAUCAAUUUGUUAUUUAAAACCAACUUUAUCAUCAAAGAAUUGUACUAUUUUCUAUGUAAAAGUGUGUUAUUAUUUUCAUGUAAACCCAAUAUUUCUUUAUAUCGUACAUGAUGUGUUAUUAAAUAUAUAUGAUCUGGUCAA
Long non-coding RNA from Lytechinus variegatus (green sea urchin), 2898 nucleotides. RefSeq lists it as uncharacterized. The record is from RefSeq and is a predicted model, not a curated record. NCBI's taxonomy places the organism in Eukaryota, Metazoa, Echinodermata, Echinoidea, Temnopleuroida, Toxopneustidae. The transcript has 2 exons.